RNAcentral lists this ribosomal RNA (276 nucleotides) under Salmonella enterica. Its description in RNAcentral is "partial 16S ribosomal RNA". It matches the Rfam family "Bacterial small subunit ribosomal RNA", at positions 1 to 273 of the family's 1533-position model. Lineage: Bacteria; Pseudomonadati; Pseudomonadota; Gammaproteobacteria; Enterobacterales; Enterobacteriaceae. The record is from RNAcentral.
AAAUUGAAGAGUUUGAUCAUGGCUCAGAUUGAACGCUGGCGGCAGGCCUAACACAUGCAAGUCGAACGGUAACAGGAAGCAGCUUGCUGUUUCGCUGACGAGUGGCGGACGGGUGAGUAAUGUCUGGGAAACUGCCUGAUGGAGGGGGAUAACUACUGGAAACGGUGGCUAAUACCGCAUAACGUCGCAAGACCAAAGAGGGGGACCUUCGGGCCUCUUGCCAUCAGAUGUGCCCAGAUGGGAUUAGCUUGUUGGUGAGGUAACGGCUCACCAAGG